RNAcentral lists this ribosomal RNA (497 nucleotides) under uncultured bacterium. Its description in RNAcentral is "partial 16S ribosomal RNA". It matches the Rfam family "Bacterial small subunit ribosomal RNA", at positions 28 to 507 of the family's 1533-position model. The record is from RNAcentral.
GAUGAACGCUGGCGGCGUGCCUAAUACAUGCAAGUCGAGCGAACAGAUGAGGAGCUUGCUCCUCUGACGUUAGCGGCGGACGGGUGAGUAACACGUGGAUAACCUACCUAUAAGACUGGGAUAACUUCGGGAAACCGGAGCUAAUACCGGAUAAUAUAUUGAACCGCAUGGUUCAAUAGUGAAAGACGGUUUUGCUGUCACUUAUAGAUGGAUCCGCGCCGCAUUAGCUAGUUGGUAAGGUAACGGCUUACCAAGGCAACGAUGCGUAGCCGACCUGAGAGGGUGAUCGGCCACACUGGAGCUGAGACACGGUCCAGACUACUACGGGAGGCAGCAGUAGGGAAUCUUCCGCAAUGGGCGAAAGCCUGACGGAGCAACGCCGCGUGAGUGAUGAAGGUCUUCGGAUCGUAAAACUCUGUUAUUAGGGAAGAACAAAUGUGUAAGUAACUAUGCACGUCUUGACGGUACCUAAUCAGAAAGCCACGGCUAACUACGUG